CUUGGAGAGUGAUCAGAGACCACGAUGGUACAUUGGAAUCAUCUGAGGAACUUAAAAAAAUACUGACACUUGGAUCCAGAGAUCCUGAUUUAGUUGGUGUGGGAUGGGGCCAGGGCUUCUAAUUUUAACGUGCAGCUGAGAUUAGAGACAUCGUAAAUGCUUUCAAGUGUUGAGAGUAACUGAUCAGGGAUCUUCUAUUGACAAGCUCUCUUCUCCCCAUCCCCACCCUAUUCACUUUGCUAAUAGAAAAAGGACUUUAAUUCAGAAAUGAAGAGAGACAUCAGCUGGGCUUUCAAAGGCAGGGAGGAAAUCCUCGUGGCUUAUAAAAGCCACUCUAAAGACUCUUGCAGACAUCUUGUGAACAGUUUGUAGGUCUGGGCAGAGGCGUGCCUGUAGCCAAGAGGGGUGGAGCCGGGAUAGUAACGAGUUGUCUGUCGUUGGACAAGUUGUAAGAGUCUCCAGAAGUUAAAGGAGUCUUAGGAAAUAUGGGUCUUGAUAGAUAAGAGGCAUGUAAUAGGAAAUAGGGGAGACUGUGGCAAACUGGAGACUGGGCACCCCCGAAGAAGGGCAGCUCAUGCUGUCAUGCAAAAAUAGGAGCCAGGUGGUGGAAGAUGUCCUAAUUUUUCAAGAUGAGAAAAAAAUGAGUCAGAGAGGUGAAGUGACUUUAUCAAGAUUGCACAGCUAGUUCCUGCAGAAGCCAAGUCAACAGAAGCUGGAAAACUGUCCUGCUGUUUUAUCCUGCCCCCUUGAUGAUGAUCUUUAACUCCAACUGGAUUAUGAGUCACGAGGCCGGGGAUCAUACACAUAAUACACAUCUCAUACACAUGAGUAGAGUGCCUUGUCCAUGGUAGAAGAAUUUAUCAAGUUACUGUUUUCAGCCUGAAUGUGUGGAUGGAUGUGUUAAGUAUCUGCUUCUGUAAGGAUGGUUUUCUACUCUCCUCGUGUCCACAACAGCCCCAAACCCUGGAAACGAGGCAUUUAUGGCAAUUUCUUCUGGCAUUUAGAAUUAAGAAAGAGAAAUCUGAGGCCAAUCUAAAUCUUUUCCUUUGUGGGUAAUCUAGGUUUUCUACCUGGACUUGGAAGAUACUGACUUUUUGCUGGAAAUGAAAUGAUUAUUAUCAUAAUUCACCAGAGCACCCUGCAAUAAACCGUCUCAAUGUCCACAUCUGGCCCUGUUGGGGUUUGAUUGCACGGGAAAGCAGAGGAAUGUUAGGAAAAUAAUAGGACUUUAAAUGGAGCCUUCAAAGCUUGCUGAUGACAUCAGAGGAGGCACUGUGUGAUGAGAGAGGUCUCAAAAAUACUAUAAAGCACACCACAGGGAUCUGAAGAGCUCUUCCGAGCCCUGCAUGGAGCCCAGCCUAAAGCAAGAGGAGAAAACCCCAAGGUGCAGACUGAGAAAGAUCCUGGAGCCACACAGCCUGAUCCUGAGAUACUGCUUGGAUUACUCACUGAGCCCAAGGCUGAGGGCAGGAGAUGUUUUACACCACAUAUACUUCUCCCAGGGCUAUGUGGUUAUCUACAUGACCUGGGAAAGGGGGUCAAGGCUGUUCUGUUCAGGACUGAGAUACUGAUUGGCUCUGGAAAAUGUGUUUUAGGGUAGCCAGUAGGUUGAAGAUUAUGUCUUGGCCUUAGAAGUGCCAAUCCAAGUCCAGAAUGUUCACACAAACUGGUAAAAAUCUGUUUCCUAGAUGCCAUAAGGAGGCCCCAGUGCUGGUUCCAGAGACCUUAAGGACAGGUGUCCUGGAGGGUUCUUAGCCACUAUGAAGACUGUAGAGAUAUUCCCAGAGUAAGAGAGGUGUUACAUCUAGAAGAGGGCAGUGGACAGCUGUAUGUCCACAUAGGAAAACAUGUCCUGAGAUGGGAUACACAAAGGGUACACAUACAGAGUCAGGAUAACAUUCAAUAUUCACUUGGCAAUGACAAUUGUCCAUGGGAGAAGAUGACUUGUGUGGUUUUAGGGAAUAGUGAUGGGAUAGAUUAGGCCUGGUUGUAGUGAUGGGGUGUGGAGAAGAGCAUCACCAGGUCCCUUAGGGAUAGUUUCCAAGACUUCUGGGAAGUGAGGUGGCAGAACAAGAGCAUCACUGCACACUUGAGAGUUGAACAUGAUGGGCAUGGAUAAUUGGAAGAGAACUGAAGAGGGCGGAGAAAACAGGGACUCUGGAUUCUGCAAGUCAUAGUGAUUUCCUCAGCAUUCUCUGACAAUAGGAUGCCAGCAAAGUCACCCAAAACUCAAUCAGAUUGUGAGUGACAAAUUCAGCACCAAAAUACAUUUUCACUGUGAACUGCUAUCUGGGACAGUUAAUACAAGACUAUUCAGGGAUCUCUGUUUAUACAGACAAUGAGCCAUUUGACUUUUCCCUAUUGUCUCUGUAUACAGCUUUGACUUUCACGUGGGUCUGCCAGUCUUCUUACAUAUCUUCCAUUAUUAGCUGAUGAGCACCUGUUCAAUUUCUAUUUUUUUUGGUCCCUCUAUCCAUGAUUUCAUAGUCAUAUAUCUUUGUGGAUGGCCCCUAAUACUCCCUGACAUUUACAUCCUUGUAUAGUCCCCUCCUACACUGAUUCUUUGCUUCUUUAAAAACAAAAUUCAGUGGAAGUGAUAAUAUGUGACUUCAAAGCUAGGUCAUAAAGUCAUUGUGGCUUCCAACUUACUCCUUCUUAGAUUGCUUGUUCUGGGGGAAGCCAGAGCAUUCAAGAAUUCCUGUAAAGAAGCCCACAUAAAGAAGGAUCGAGGCUUCUAACCAUUACCCAAAACCCAACCAUUACACCAACACCACGCAAGGAAGCCACCUGAGAAGUGGAUUCCAAGCCUACAGACGGCUACAUCCCUGGCCAAUAUCUGAUUGCAGCCUUGCAAGAGAUCUUGAACCAGAGCCAUCCAGCUGCUCCUGAAUUUCUGACCCCUAGAAAGAGAGAUAAUGGUGAUCAUUGUUUUAAACCACUAAGUUUUGGAAUUACUUAUUAUGUAGCAAUAGUUAACUAAUAGGAAAGAGGACAAGAGCACAGAGGGGAAGGGCAAAGUGAAUCGCUCCAAGGCAGUGUGACUGAGACUUGAUUGAUGAACUGGAAACAUGUGGUUGGCCAUAUUUCAGUAUUGCUAUGGACCAGUGACUCCUGUGCACCUCCCAUUUUCCCAUGUUGGUCGAAAACUCGUUGUCCUAUGUCUCUCCCACCAACAUAUGUUGGGUGAGUUGGAGCAGAAAACUGGUCUUUUCAGUUCAGAGGUGUUCAACUCAACAGAAGCUGUACAUGAGCAGCUGAACUCAAGGAACCACACCUGCAACACUUCAUCCACAUCUAGAUCCAAGUAAAAUGGAUGGUGAACCUGAGUCUGGUGCUGUAAUAAAUGAAACCUGUGGAGGAGCUUGGGAAGGUCUGAGUGUAUUUUGCAUAUGGAAGGAAUGUAGAUAAUUUGUGGCCAGUGGACAGAUGGUAGUAGUUUUAAAACAUAUUCACAAAUUCUUUGAAUCCUCCCACAAAAAGUGGAGUUUAAUUCCCUACCCUUUGAAUAUAAAUCAGUUUUAGAUACCUGCUUCUAAUUAGUAGAAUGCAGUCGAAGUGAUGUUACAUGACUUAGAAAGCUAGGUUAGAAAAGAUGAUAAAGUUCCCAUCCUGGCUCUCAGUCUGUACUUUUGCCCUUGGAGCUUUUGAAACCCAGUCAUCAUGUUGUGAGGCAGCCCAGGCCACAUAGGGAAACCACAUGUAAGUUUUCUGGCUAAUAGCCCCAGCUGAGGUUCGAGCAACACCUUCCAGACAUGUGAGUGAGAGCGCUUUCAGAUGAUUCCAGCCUUUUGUGCUCACAGCUGAUGCCAGCUGGAGCAGAAACUAAAUUAUCCCCACCAAGCCCUGCUCAAAUUGUAGAUUUAUAAGCAAAGUAAAUGUUGUCAUUGUUUUAAAACACUAAGUUUAGGAGUCAUUUGUUAGGCAGCCACAGUAACUGUGACAAGAUCCUCUGUCUUUUCUUUCUUGGCUCCCCCAAUUUUUUUCAUCUUGGAGAGAAACCUGAGACACAUUCUGGGGCCCCUUUUCAUUAUUUUCUCCUUUGAGGUAGGGAAACAUUAGUUUCACCCAGUGAAAAAAGAAAAUGUAAAGACAUUGUCCAUUUGAGAAGGACAUGCCCAUAUUAAAUCAACUUUCAUUCUCUGUGUCAAGGGUGUAUUGUGAGAAAUUCUCCCUCAGUGUCCCAGCUCUCAUAUAACUAUGGUAACACAGCAACUGUCUCAAAGUGGCAAAUACCUUAGUGAGGUAAUCCAGUUUAUAUUUAUAACCUCAGGGAUAUUUCUCAAUAAGAGUAUGUAUUCCCAAAUGCACCAAGUACUUGAUAAAGAAUUGGACAGCAAUAGCCUUUCCUACCAUUUUUAAUAAACCUACAUAAUUCUCUAGCCAGGGGUCAUAUGUUAAUUCACCCUGUCUCUUAUCAUGCAACUUCACUCAAUAAAACUGUCAUCCCUUCUUCAUGAAAAAGAAUAUCCUAAGCUUUUAAAGGCCCCUUUGCAUGUUGAUGAUAGCACUCAUGUAGGGAGCUAGAUCUCAUAUGUAAUCUGGUACCUCUUUCCAGUGAUGGCCUCCUUUAGUCCCCUGUAUAAUGUGCUAUAUGAAAUUAGUUUCAAACUGCCUCCAUAGCUGCAAUACCAGCCAUUCUUCUUUCCCUUCUGGAAUAACUUCCCCUGUCUCUGAAGUGGCCAUGUGUCUUGUCCUGUUGGCAACACUGGAGGUAGUGGUAGGGGUCUUUCCCUGUGGCAUCUCCAGGAUAAGUCAUUGGUUCUACCAGCUGCCCUGGAUGCAGUGAGAGAGUCUUUCCUGUUUUCUCCCUUCUCCCUUCUCCCAAGGGCUCAAAAAUACUUACAAAUGCAGAGUAACCAGGGCAUCAAUUCAUGAACCAUGUUAUCUACCCUCAUAGCCCUCUCAUAGCACUUCCACCUUCUGCCAUGUCCCUCAGGAACCAUCCUGUCACCAACCAUCCAACCUCAGCCAAGUGACCUUACCACUGCUCCCAUGGGGAUGUCUUAUAGCCCUUUCCAGUUAGCCUCUUUCCAUAAUUUAAAAAAACCAUAAUACCAAAUCAACUGGCACUGGCAGGGACCCCAUAGUAGAUCCCAAACAUCAGGUAGGGUACAUGGUAACCCACACCAUAAUGCAUUCAUAAUGGAAACAGUGAUAGUAUUUAUUGAGAAUAAAUUUAUGAGCAUAGAAGAAGUAGAGUGCACAGAAGUAAGCUGUAUUUGAGUCAAUGGUAGUGCAAGUGCUGAGAAAAGUGCCCCAGUAGAGGAAACUGGACCUGCACUGCUUUAUUUAUUGGCUGAGCUGGGAGAGGUAGGGGAGACCCAAUUUUCCAUAUAACAAAGUGGUUUACUGUUAGGAGCCUCGAGCUCAGCUAUGGAGUAUCCAUACCAAUGCUACUGAUAUGAGCUAGAGGCCUUGCUGAGGGAUGGGAAAAAAGACGGGGUCUGCAUGACACUGGGAACCAAAGGUUAGUUUCUACUUACAGGCAGGGAUGGGACUCUUGAAGCGCUUACACUGCUUUUGUUGGGACUGGAUGAACGGGGGCAAAGAACCACUCAAAGCACAAGCCCGGUGAGAAUUUUGUUUACAUGGUUUAAGUUGCCCUAUCAAGACAAUCGGGACAUCUCCCAAGAGCUCUCAAACUACUUUGAAGAGUCCUCUUAUCCCUGCCUACCUCUCCCUGUCCUAAACCCCUCUGUGUUUCAGUUUGGGUCAUUCCUAUGGACCUAUCUUUAAGUUUACUGAUUCCUUUCUUGCCUGUGUUGAAUCUACUGAUGAAGCUAAAGGGCAUUUUAGAUAUCUUAUGUAUUUUUCAUGUCUAGCAUUUCCAUUUAACUCUUAUAGUUUCCAUCUCUCUGCUGAAAUUAACCAUCUGAUCAUGCAUGUUGUCCAUCUUUUCCACUAGAUCAUUUAAGAUAUUAAUCAUGGUUAAGUUCCCUAUCUAAUAUUUCCCACAGUUGCCAUCUCUGAACCUACUGGUGAUUGAUUUGUCUCUUGACAAUGUGGGUUUUUUCCUUUUUUAUGACACGUAAUUUUUGUUGAAAGUCAGAUAACUUGUACAGGAAAGUAGAGACUGAUGUAACUAAUUCUUAUGUCUGGAAAAUUAGCACAACUUUCCUUCUGCUGGGCAUUUACCAGUUGGGCACUGGAGCCAAUCUAGUCACCAAUUAAGCUAACAUGCCGUGAUCUGUAGGUCUGUCCCCAGCACAUAUUCCCACCCCUCCUCAUCAGUAAUGGUUUUGUUCUGUUUUCUUUCCUUGGCCACAAUGAGUUUUUACCAGUACCUUAAGGGCAACAGAGUUUGCUGCUGUUCCCCAAUGUCUUAAGCCUUUAGUUCAAGAGGGAAAAUAGAGAAGGAUCCAAAAGAGGAAUUCAUAUCCUUUCCCUUGGUGAUUACUAUUCCCUUAUGAGAUGCUUUGUUAAAACUCUUGCCCUACCUCUACCUCUUUUGUGAGCACCCAGUCAGGUAUGUGGGUAUAGCCUGCAGGUGGGUGCAAAUUCCCUUUAGGUCUUUGUCUCACAGGGGUUCUCUCUCUAGCCCAUAUUUGGUCUUUUGUAAUUGGUUAAAAAUAUUAGCUGAAUUCUUCUUACUGGUGUCUGGAAAUGUCUACCCUAGUUAAGAAGCCCUCAGGCCCCACCUCUCCUUAAAGGAACCUCUAUUUCCUUAGAUUUUCUUGCCCUGAAACUUCAGCUUUCUGUUGGGUUCAAGAUGAGUUUUAAAUUUGGCAACCAUCUGGCAUUUUGUUGGUCUUGUUGUCAUGGUUAAAAUGAUGCUUUCUACAAUUUUCUACAUCCUAACAGGAAACCAGAAGAUCCUCUCAUUCACUUUAAAUGAAUCAACACAACUACAGAAUCCUCCCCAGUAAAAACAAACCUUGAGAGUCACCUCAUAAGUCUUUAAUGAUAUAUCCUGCCUUGUAUUAUUAAUUACAUAAAGACAUAAUAUUCUUACUUAUGGUCAAAAGUAUUUAAAGUCUAUUUCUUGGCCCUUCAUUUGUGGCUGAAUCAGUUAUCUGCUGUGAUUUCUUCAAGGUGAAUUUUCCCAGAAGUAUCCAAUGCAGUGUUAUUUUUAGCUUGCACCAUUCCUGUCUAGUUAAUUGUUUAUUCUUCUUUCUUCUCAGUUAAUUGCUUAAAAAAUCUCCUAAAUUUUGCAUUUUCUUAAUCUACAACAUUUUAUAGCAUUCCUAUACAGGAAUCUGAUCGUAAAAUUUAGGUAACUUGGCAUGUAUAGAAGCGUAAUAUCUGAGGUGUCAAGAAGUCUACAGUGACUGGAAGCUUUGACUUUACCUCAUUCUACCAAUAAAAUGAAAUGACACGCUUUCCAUUCCAUUUUGUUCACUAUGGGGUAUGAAUUAUAUGGUGAUGGAGAUAUUUAGAAGAUAUUGGAUAAGAUAUUUUAAUACUGUAACCUAUAAUAAUUUGUGAAAUUUCUCUCUGAGUCAGGUUUGAGUGGAACACAUACUUUGGUGAUGUUGAUGGACAUUAUGUGAUCAAUAAAAUCCUAAGACUCUACAAGCAGAAAUUAUCUUUGCUACUAAGAGAUCAUAGCUACCUAGGGAGUGGAGAUCUUUGUAUCAUAUAAUCCCGAGGAAAACUAGAUCCUUGACAUUUCUCCUUUAGACACAAUUAUGUCAUGAAACAGUGUGGGUCUCCAGCUGAAGUAGACAUAAAAACCAGAUUUUAUGAUACAGUACAAAGGAAAACAUUACUUUAAAACGGUGAUUUUUUUCUCAUUAUAAAAGUAGUACAAUUUAUUUUUUUAAUGUGAAAAAACCAGAAGAUUUAAGAAAGAUUUCAAACAAUAUUUUAAAAAUAGAAUAACAAAGCCUAGUUGGGCAGUCUAAAUGGUUGUAUUUUUUUGUAGUCUCUCACAGAUAUAUCCACAUAUAAAUAAUCCUAACUUUAAAAUUAUUCAUAUAUACAUAGUUAUGUAUAUAUUAUCAGUGUCCUACUAUAUACAGUUUUCUACUCUGCCUUUUUUUUAGUUAUCAUUGCAUUGGAAGUAUUUUCCCACGUCAUCAAAAAUGCUUCAUAAAUAUUUUUAAUGGCUGAAUAAUAUUCUGUUUCAUAGUUGUGCAAUAAUUGAAUAUAAGCCUCUUGUGUAUUAAGAUUGUUUCCACUGUUUCAGACUUGAAAAUAAUGCCAUGAUGAACUUCUCUACAUAUAAAUCUGUCUUCAUUUUUGAUUACUUCCUUAGGAUCCAUUCAUAGAAGUAAAAUUACUGAUUCAAAGAAGAUGAAAUUUUUUAUAGCUCAUGACAGGAUAUUUACAAAUCAUGUUCUGGAGAGGUUUAACAAAUUAUAUUGCCACCAGUAGUUUAUGAGAAUAUAUGUCUUACUGAAUCCUCACAAAUAUUGAGUACCAUUAUUUAAAAAAGUCUGUGACAGUGGUGAAUCCUGAAGAACAGUAUUUCCUCGAUAUUUUACUUUUUAUUUCUUCUCUUAAUACUGGGGCCAAACAUUUUCCUACGAGUUUAUGUGCCAUUUGCAUUUCAAUUUUUAUAAAAUGCUUGACAAUGUAUUUUCUUCUUUCUACUUUUUCAUAAUGUUUGGUUUUCCAAUGUGACUGUGCCAUUUUGCAUUACCAACAGCAAUGUAUGAGAGCUCCCAUUGUUUUACAUCCUCUGACUGUGCUUAAUAUUUUAAGUUCUUUAAAAAAAUUAUUUUUGACAUUAUAAAAGGUGUAUAGUGGUAUUUCAUUGUGGUUUUAAUUUGCGUUUCCCUAGUGACUAAUGAUACUGAGUAUUUUUUUGGUGUUUAUUUCCUAUCUGUAUCUUCUUUGUUGAGGUGGCUGUUGAAAUCUUUUGUCCCUUUUUAUUGGGUUGGUUUUUGCUUAUUAUUGAGUUUUGAGAGUUAUGUUAUUUAUUCUGGAUACAUGUCCUUCUUAGAUAUGUGACUUGAAAACAUUUUCUGCCAGUUUGUGGCUUGUGUUUUCAUUCUCUCAACAGUGUGUUUUGCAGAGUAGAAGUUUUUAUUGUUGGAGAAGUAUGGUUUAUUGUGUUUUUCUUUAAUAGAGCAUACUUUUGGGGUUGUAUCUAAAAACUCUUUGUUACAUCACAGUGCUUAUCUCAUUUAUUUUUGUCUAUAAGUUUUAUAGUUGUAGAUUUUACGUUCAAAUCUAUAAUUUAUUUUGAGUCUAGUUUUUACGUGCUGUGAAGUAUAGGUUGAGUUUUAUUUAUUUAUUUGCAUGUGGACAUCCACUUGUUGCAGAAACAUUUGA
Equus caballus (horse) is the source of this 9219-nucleotide long non-coding RNA. NCBI's taxonomy places the organism in Eukaryota, Metazoa, Chordata, Mammalia, Perissodactyla, Equidae. The record is from Ensembl.